GCUGGGCAUGGUGGCGCACGCCUGUAGUCCCAGCUACUUGGGAGGCUGAGGCAGGAGAAUCACUUGAACCCAGGAGGCGGAGGUUGCAGUGAACCGAGAUCGCGCCACUGCACUCCAGCCUGGGUAAGAGAGUGAGACUUUGUCUCAA
This 148-nucleotide small RNA is filed under the name Pongo abelii (Sumatran orangutan). Its description in RNAcentral is "Metazoan signal recognition particle RNA (ENSPPYG00000039672.1)". The record is from Rfam by way of RNAcentral. Lineage: Eukaryota; Metazoa; Chordata; Mammalia; Primates; Hominidae.